GCGCCCCCAUGGGCGGUGCUGGCUUGGUACGCUAGCGCAGAUCUUACGGGGAGUCUUAGUGGGCGGUGCUGGCGUGAGGUACAGGAAGUUUUGGGACCCCCAGACUGGGUUCAUUUGUGUGGUGCUCAGGUCGUCGGUGGUCUUUUCUCCCUGUGCUUUUUUGGGUUCGCGUCUUGUGACCCACUUGUGGGUUUGUGUGACGCAGACGAGGGUACUCUGCUCCACUCUCUGCUGAUGGAACAGCACAGUCUUUGCAGAAGGCGAAGUACAGCUUCAGACACAGCGUCAGAAAACUCUUAUAGGAAAAACUUCAGUUAUGUUGCUUUCAGUUUACUGCCUGUUAAAUUUUUGCUUAAUAGAUCAUGAUCUUUGUGAAUUAAAUGAAUGCCCCUUGGAUCCUGGUGGCUACUUCAUUACUAAUGGAUCAGAAGGUAUAAUAGCAUUAUUAUUGUUUAAAUUACAAAAUUAAAUAAUUAAGAUUUAAAUUGUGAAAGUUAAAAAUAAAAAGUAAGGGAGUUCCCAUUGUAGCUCAAUGGUUAGCGAAUCCAACUCAGAACCAUGAGGUUUCGGGUUCGAUCCUGGCCUUGCUCAGUGGGUUAAGGAUCCGGCAUUGCCAUGAGCUGUGGUGUAGGUCGAGAUGCAACUUGGAUCCUGCGUUGCCAUGGCUGUGGCAUAGGCCGGCAGCCACAGCUCCAAAUGGACCCCUAGCCUGGGAACCUCCAUAUGCCACGGGUACGGCCAUAGAAAAGACAAAAAGAAAAAGUUUAAAAAAAUAUUAAGCUUCU
This 785-nucleotide long non-coding RNA is filed under the name Sus scrofa (pig). RNAcentral describes it as "lncRNA (ENSSSCG00060003820.1)". Lineage: Eukaryota; Metazoa; Chordata; Mammalia; Artiodactyla; Suidae. The record is from RNAcentral.